Molecule: ribosomal RNA, 497 nt
Filed under: uncultured bacterium
Lineage: Bacteria
Description: partial 16S ribosomal RNA
Rfam family: Bacterial small subunit ribosomal RNA
Source: RNAcentral
GAUGAACGCUGGCGGCGUGCCUAAUACAUGCAAGUCGAGCGAACAGACGAGGAGCUUGCUCCUCUGACGUUAGCGGCGGACGGGUGAGUAACACGUGGAUAACCUACCUAUAAGACUGGGAUAACUUCGGGAAACCGGAGCUAAUACCGGAUAAUAUAUUGAACCGCAUGGUUCAAUAGUGAAAGACGGUUUUGCUGUCACUUAUAGAUGGAUCCGCGCCGCAUUAGCUAGUUGGUAAGGUAACGGCUUACCAAGGCAACGAUGCGUAGCCGACCUGAGAGUGUGAUCGGCCACACUGGAACUGAGACACGGUCCAGACUCCGACGGGAGGCAGCAGUAGGGAAUCUUCCGCGAUGGGCGAAAGCCUGACGGAGCAACGCCGCGUGAGUGAUGAAGGUCUUCGGAUCGUAAAACUCUGUUAUUAGGGAAGAACAAAUGUGUAAGUAACUAUGCACGUCUUGACGGUACCUAAUCAGAAAGCCACGGCUAAGUACGUG